This 466-nucleotide ribosomal RNA is filed under the name Salmonella enterica. RNAcentral describes it as "bacterial SSU rRNA". It matches the Rfam family "Bacterial small subunit ribosomal RNA", at positions 1 to 463 of the family's 1533-position model. The record is from RNAcentral. Lineage: Bacteria; Pseudomonadati; Pseudomonadota; Gammaproteobacteria; Enterobacterales; Enterobacteriaceae.
AAAUUGAAGAGUUUGAUCAUGGCUCAGAUUGAACGCUGGCGGCAGGCCUAACACAUGCAAGUCGAACGGUAACAGGAAGCAGCUUGCUGCUUCGCUGACGAGUGGCGGACGGGUGAGUAAUGUCUGGGAAACUACCUGAUGGAGGGGGAUAACUACUGGAAACGGUAGCUAAUACCGCAUAAUGUCGCAGGACCAAAGAGGGGGACCUUCGGGCCUCUUGCCAUCAGAUGUGCCCAGAUGGGAUUAGCUUGUUGGUGAGGUAACGGCUCACCAAGGCGACGAUCCCUAGCUGGUCUGAGAGGAUGACCAGCCACACUGGAACUGAGACACGGUCCAGACUCCUACGGGAGGCAGCAGUGGGGAAUAUUGCACAAUGGGCGCAAGCCUGAUGCAGCCAUGCCGCGUGUAUGAAGAAGGCCUUCGGGUUGUAAAGUACUUUCAGCGGGGAGGAAGGGGAUAAGGCUAA